RNAcentral lists this ribosomal RNA (363 nucleotides) under Triticum aestivum (bread wheat). RNAcentral describes it as "partial small subunit ribosomal RNA". Lineage: Eukaryota; Viridiplantae; Streptophyta; Magnoliopsida; Poales; Poaceae. The record is from RNAcentral.
AUGCUUCCGGCUCGAUAUACCUUGUCCAAAGAACGAGUGAUUGCCUUUUGUCAAUUUUUACGAGAAUUAAAGUUUCCAGAUGGGUUUGCUUCAAACAUAGCAAGAUGUAUAAGUGCUGAUGGAACCAAGGUACAAGGCCUAAAAACACAAGAUUGUCACAUUCUUUUGCAAAGAAUCUUACCGGCUGGAAUGAGAGGAUUUUUGGACAUUGAUAUAUAUGUAGCAAUAGCUGAGUUAGGCAAGUUCUUCAGGAAAUUGUGCUGCAAAACUCUUAACAAGGAUGUGUUGGCCGAAAUGAAGAAAGAAAUCCCUGUAAUAUUGUGCAAGCUUGAGAAAAUUCCCCCCCUGCUUUCUUCGAUGUGA